CCUACGGGAGGCAGCAGUGGGGAAUCUUGGACAAUGGGCGAAAGCCUGAUCCAGCCAUGCCGCGUGAGUGAUGAAGGCCCUAGGGUUGUAAAACUCUUUCCCCGACGAUACGGUAGUGCGAGAAGAAGCUCCGGCUAACUUCGUGCCAGCAGCCGCGGUAAUACGAAGGGGGCUAGCGUUGUUCGGAAUUACUGGGCGUAAAGCGCGCGCAGGCGGCUUUCCAAGUCAGUGGUGAAAGCCCGGAGCUCAACUCCGGAAAUGCCAUUGAAACUGGUUAGCUUGAGUACGGGAGAGGUGAGUGGAAUUCCGAGUGUAGAGGUGAAAUUCGUAGAUAUUCGGAAGAACACCAGUGGCGAAGGCGGCUCACUGGCCGUACUGACGCUCAGGCGCGACAGCGUGGGGAUCAAACAGGAUUAGAUACCCUUGUAGUC
Molecule: ribosomal RNA, 431 nt
Filed under: uncultured bacterium
Lineage: Bacteria
Description: partial 16S ribosomal RNA
Rfam family: Bacterial small subunit ribosomal RNA
Source: RNAcentral